This 1239-nucleotide long non-coding RNA is filed under the name Homo sapiens (human). RNAcentral's name for it is "HSALNT0091445". The record is from RNAcentral. Lineage: Eukaryota; Metazoa; Chordata; Mammalia; Primates; Hominidae.
CGUACAUUGUCCUCAGAUCAGAAUUCCUCAGACUCGAUAGCUAUGAUAAGAGAAAACCUCGGAAAUACAAGAAUUCUUUUUAUCUGAAACGAAGCCAAGCAAAGCAACAUCACCUUCUGGAAAGUGCAGAAACUGCAAUCAAGAUCAACAAAGAAAAGCACCCUUCCCAUAGAUUCAUCUCUUUGGCGUUUAAGUGUUUGGGCGAGUCUACAAAACUCAGAUUCCUCAUUUAACUAGAUGUUCCAGGUCACAGAGAUAUUCUACUAAGGCAAUUUUCAAAAGACCAUAAAACCACCACAUCAAUUUAUGCUUGCAGGCUAUAGUGCAGUAAUAUCAUCAUGGCUCACUGCAAUCUCGACUUCUCCAGCUCAAACAAUCCUCCCACCUCAGCCUCCCAAGCAGUUGGGACUACAGGCACGUGUCAUUACACCCAGUUACAGAAAGCUUUUCAUGGUUCACUGACUGAGGACAAUCAACCCCUUCAUAAUCCAUAACCCAAAGAUUGAACUGUCUGAGAACACCAGAGAAAGACUGCUCCUGCCAUCCACAUUGCAGCAAACCUUCAGGACCUUGAACCUUGGGUUCAUAGUCUUACAACUCAGAAGCAUCCCUCCACACUCUCAAAACUGGACAUCCUUGGGAACCCUUAAGGUAAAGCUAACCAGGGAAGAUUUUCUGCCCAGAAGAUGGCAUCCUUUUCCCCAAGAUCACAGAAGCUUUUUCCCAAGAUCACAGAUCAAGACUUCUCUAGUACCAUGAGACUCUUAUCUUUGAAUUUUUCCCCUUGCUAUGCCUCUAUAAACAAUAGAAGUAAAAAUGGAAUCUGUUGUGUGCACUCAUGGGGUAUACUUUUAUUUGUGAAGGAUGCUGCAGCCAUGCAGACUUAUACAUGGAUAACAGAUAUGGUUUGGCUCUGUGUCCCCACCCAAAACUCAUGUUGAAUUGUAAUCCCCAGUGUUUGUGAGGACUGGUGGGAGGUGAUUGGAUCAUGGUUGUGGUUUCUAAUGGUUUAACGUGAUCCCUUUAGUACUGUCUUGUGAUAGAGUUCUCAUGAGGUCUGGUUGUUUAAAAGUGUGUGGAACCUUCCUGUUCACUCUUUCUCCUGCUCUGACAAGUGAAGAUGUGACUGCUUUUCCUUCAACUUCUGCCAUGAUUGUAAAUUUCCUGAGGCCUCUUCAGCCAUGCUUCCUGUACAACCUGCAGAACUGUGAGUCAAUUAAACCACUUUUUUUUUAUAAA